This is a long non-coding RNA of Ahaetulla prasina, 546 nucleotides long. RefSeq lists it as uncharacterized. The transcript is spliced from 3 exons. The record is from RefSeq and is a predicted model, not a curated record. NCBI's taxonomy places the organism in Eukaryota, Metazoa, Chordata, Lepidosauria, Squamata, Colubridae.
GUUGAAGUCCACAAGUCUUAAAGCUGCCAAAUUUGAAGACCUCUGCCCUAUACUAAUCCUCCCAGCCCACUAUUUUUCAUUGUAAAGAAAUUAAACAGUAUUUUUUGGCUACCGCACACGUCUACCACAUAUGGUAGUACGUUUCCUGGGCCUGUUUGCAUUUCCAGCAAUCCGGUGAUCUGUUUGGGAACAUUUUUGCUAAUCUCACUGGGGGAUCUUAAAGAACCUGUAAUAGUACUCCAUCCUCUAUUUUCUCUCUCAGUAACAACCUUGUGAAAUAGGUCUGAGAAUGAUUGGCUAAAAUCAUCCACCAAGCAUCCAUAGUUAAUCAGGUACAAUUGAAUCUGAGCCUCUGCAGUCCACGAAGUCCUCUGUUUCCUUCAUAGCCAACCUUUUCUAGUUGAGUGUAUUAUAAAGACGCAGUUUGUCUGGUGAUAUCAGGUAAGCAAAAACCAAAAGAGGUUUAAGCUUGGAAUGGGCACCUGGGCCUGGCAUAAAGAAGCAAAUAGUGUAAUCUGAAAUAUGUUGGAUAUUUAUGUUAAGUGA